RNAcentral lists this transfer RNA (73 nucleotides) under Danio rerio (zebrafish). RNAcentral describes it as "tRNA-Val (CAC) (tRNA-Val-CAC-42-1)". It matches the Rfam family "tRNA". From Rfam's summary of the family: Transfer RNA (tRNA) molecules are approximately 80 nucleotides in length. Their secondary structure includes four short double-helical elements and three loops (D, anti-codon, and T loops). Lineage: Eukaryota; Metazoa; Chordata; Actinopteri; Cypriniformes; Danionidae. The record is from Rfam by way of RNAcentral.
GUUUCUGUAGCGUAGUGGUUAUCACGUUCGCCUCACACGCGAAAGGUCCCCAGUUCGAAACUGGGCGGAAACA